Non-coding RNA from Mycena latifolia, 100 nucleotides. The record is from the annotation of a GenBank genome assembly. NCBI's taxonomy places the organism in Eukaryota, Fungi, Basidiomycota, Agaricomycetes, Agaricales, Mycenaceae.
GGCCUGGUGGUGUAAUGGUAACACAACUGCUUGAUUUCAUAUAUCUUGUGUCUGUUACUCUUUCAGCAGGAGAUUCCUUGUUCGAAUCAAGGUCAGGCCA